GGAUAGCCCUGAUGGGAGUGGCAUCCUUUUGUGGAUCCCGUUUUUUAACGGGAGGAACAAAAGAUACAACGGACAGCAGGAACAAGG
RNAcentral lists this small RNA (87 nucleotides) under Flavobacterium enshiense DK69. RNAcentral's name for it is "Flavobacterium sp. DK69 Flavo-1 RNA". It matches the Rfam family "Flavo-1 RNA". The record is from Rfam by way of RNAcentral. Lineage: Bacteria; Pseudomonadati; Bacteroidota; Flavobacteriia; Flavobacteriales; Flavobacteriaceae.